GCAAACUUGGUCAUUUAGAGGAAGUAAAAGUCGUAACAAGGUUUCCGUAGGUGAACCUGCGGAAGGAUCAUUACCGAGUGCGGGCUCUCAGAGCCUAACCUCCCACCCGUGUAGACUGAGACCCUGUUGCUUCGGCGGGCCCACCGGGAGCCUCUAGGCCCUGGUCGCCGGGGGGCAUCUUUGCCCCCGGGCCCGCGCCCGCCGGAGAGCCUAUGAACCCUGUAUGAAUUGGGCGUCUGAGUGAGAGAUUGAAUCAUUAAAACUUUCAACAACGGAUCUCUUGGUUCCGGCAUCGAUGAAGAACGCAGC
This 309-nucleotide unclassified non-coding RNA is filed under the name uncultured fungus. Its description in RNAcentral is "partial contains small subunit ribosomal RNA, internal transcribed spacer 1, and 5.8S ribosomal RNA". The stretch from base 1 to 73 matches the Rfam family "Eukaryotic small subunit ribosomal RNA", at positions 1759 to 1831 of the family's 1831-position model. The record is from RNAcentral. Lineage: Eukaryota; Fungi.